RNAcentral lists this long non-coding RNA (1743 nucleotides) under Citrus sinensis (sweet orange). RNAcentral describes it as "long non-coding RNA (CSIN_LNC000443)". The record is from RNAcentral. Lineage: Eukaryota; Viridiplantae; Streptophyta; Magnoliopsida; Sapindales; Rutaceae.
AUAAUUUGUGUGUUUUUUUGUUUUUGUUUUUUUCUAAUUUCAGGAAGAGGAUUUACUCGCACUUCUCCAGGAUGAAGAAACUGCUGAAGACAAAAUGAUUCAGACAGAUAUCGGCGAGGAAGAUUUGGAGAGGGUGUUGGAUCGUGCCGACCUCAUUGCUGGUUGUUUGGAUGAUGAGGAAAAGCCUAAUGCUGCUGUUUACCCUCUUAAAGGACCUGGUUGGGAAGUGGUGAUACCAACAGCAACUGGAGGCAUGCUCUCCACUCUCAAUAGUUAAGGAUCCUUUCCGUGGAUUCGGCACAGUGGAGUCUCUCACCUUUUGAAUUUCAAACUGUUUGGGUCUUGUCCCUAACGAUCGAAGAGUUAACAGUCAUGAAGCUAUUGUUUGAUUCAUUAUGUUUCAUGUGCAUCCAGAAUCCUCAAAUGGAUUUGCAGGCCAUGGAUAGAUGUCAUAGAAUUGGCCAAACCAAGCCUGUUCAUGUUUAUAGGCUUGCAACUGCUCAAUCUGUUGAGGUACUUAACUGAUGAUCCUGGUCUUUUGGCUUUCUGAAAGUCAAUGCUGUAUUUAGCAUGGUAAAAUGUUACGUGUAUGUUAACAGGGUCGCAUAUUGAAAAGAGCUUUCAGUAAGCUGAAGCUUGAGCAUGUUGUGAUUGGAAAAGGGCAGUUUCAUCAAGAACGGACCAAGUCUAAUUGUAUAGAUGCCUUGGAGGUUUGAUACUUUAUUUUUAGCUGCUUUUGGUGCUUACUGUUUGUUGACAUGGCAUUAUCUUCCAUGGUAUGCUGAAAUUUCAACGGAGGACUUCUUAGUGAUGCCAUUUCUUAUCUCUCUGUUUUAGCCUAACUGAACUCAUCAGCUUUCCAAUGGGCAUUUAGUAUGCAGAAGAUAAAACAUUGAUAUAUGGUACUGUUCAGGAUUUUUUCCCCUUUAUCACUCAAUUGUAACAUUAGCUUUAUAAUAGAUUUUACUAGUGGUUACUACUAUAACCACAUUUAAAAAAAAAUGAAAAAAAUGAAAAACAAUCUCUAUGAUGAUUUUAUUCCUGUGGAGAUCAAGUGUAGGACUCUAAAGUUGGUGAGUUGACUUAGUAUUUCCUUCAUAAUUCACGUGGAUAUUUGUAGUGGGAUGCUAUGAUACUGAGUUAUAAUGUCUCUUGUUGCCUCUUUCUAUUUCCUGGACAUUGAGAUAGCUUCCAGAUUUGAGAGAAGGAAUUUAAAUAUUGUGCAUGCCUAAAUGUAAGAUCGCUGUUGUGAUAUGAUCUUUUUAACUCCUCACGUUCAUAAUUUGUGUGUUUUUUUGUUUUUGUUUUUUUCUAAUUUCAGGAAGAGGAUUUACUCGCACUUCUCCAGGAUGAAGAAACUGCUGAAGACAAAAUGAUUCAGACAGAUAUCGGCGAGGAAGAUUUGGAGAGGGUGUUGGAUCGUGCCGACCUCAUUGCUGGUUGUUUGGAUGAUGAGGAAAAGCCUAAUGCUGCUGUUUACCCUCUUAAAGGACCUGGUUGGGAAGUGGUGAUACCAACAGCAACUGGAGGCAUGCUCUCCACUCUCAAUAGUUAAGGAUCCUUUCCGUGGAUUCGGCACAGUGGAGUCUCUCACCUUUUGAAUUUCAAACUGUUUGGGUCUUGUCCCUAACGAUCGAAGAGCUAUGUGCAAUUUUUGGGAGCAGAGAAAUGAUUGAAAUGCUCUUUUCCUGCGGACACUAUAAAGGGCUGCAUUUUCCGGAGAUAGCCAGUCCACUUUUGUAC